This 1611-nucleotide unclassified non-coding RNA is filed under the name Hevea brasiliensis (rubber tree). Lineage: Eukaryota; Viridiplantae; Streptophyta; Magnoliopsida; Malpighiales; Euphorbiaceae. The record is from RNAcentral.
AAAGAAUACAAAUAAAUGAAUCAGUAAGGAUCCUACAAAUUGAAAUGAAAAUUAUACAAAUAAUACAUUAUGAUAUGAUGUUUAUCUAAUCUGAGCCAAGUCAAAAAAUGGUUCUAGCUUUCUCUUUAGCACAGGCUUUGUCUCUGUAGGAUUCCCAAAAACAUUCCAUAAUCUUAGUGUCUCAUCAGCUGCUGCAGUCGCCACGGUAUAGCCAUCCGGGCUCUGAGCCAUAUGAAGAACUCUUGAUGUGUGACCGAGAAGUUCAGAAAUUUUCGUCAUAGAAGGAUAUUUCCAAACAGCAAGCUGGUUGUCAAUAAAGCCAUGAGAACUCAAAAGCUCGCGGUCAUGUCUGUUCCAAAGCAAGGAACAGACUUGUGAACCUGUAUUGACAGAAUUCAAGCAUGCCCCUGUAUUGGUGUUCCAAAACUUUAUGCAUUGAUCUCCAAUGCCACCGCCUGAGGCGACCAUAUUACUCUGGAAAGGACACCAGGAAAGAGCUUUUACAGCAGAAGUGUGAUCUGUCAUACGGUGAACCCAUUGGUGUGUUGAGUUAGCAGACCCCAUCGAUAUGCUCCAUAUAUGGACCAAAUUGUCGUUCCCUCCACUAGCCAAUUGCUGGCCUGAAGCAGACCACUUCAAUCCACAUAUCUCCUGAUUGUGUCCUCUAUAUGUUCCAACUAUGUGAGAUCUUAUACGCACGUCAUUGUUGAUGAUCAUACCGUCCAUGCCCCCAGUUGUCAGUAUGUGUCCAUUCCAAUCGAGUGAGCCAACCCUUAAUCUGUGUCCUUGUAAAGUCCUCAGCAAUCGGCUAGAUCCCUGCAAGGUGUUCCACAGCUGAACGUGUGAAUUAUUCAAGCCCACUGCAAGGCUUCUUCCAUCUGGUGACCAGCUGACAGCAGUCACCGGCCCAAAAUCAUCAUCAACCGUGAGAAGCUCAGUAACAGACCCAUCAGAAGCAUCCCAUAGAUAUACAGAAUUUCCUAAGGCAAUGGCAAUUACGUUAUUGCUUCCCCAGUCUAACAAAUUGAGAUAAAAGUCAUCUAGGAUGUCAGGAGCAUCCAGGGUCCUCUCCGAAGAUUGGGGAAUGUAUCUCCUCUUUUUAACGGUUUUUGGCUGUUGUAUAGAUGAUGGAGAUUCAGAAACUCUCUCAGCCGAAUGUGGAGGCUUAUUCUUAAAAGCAAGGAUCCUCGUUCUGUUCAUGUUGAAAAUUUCUGCUAACUGCUUCGAGUAAGCUUCUUUAGAUGGAGAAUUUACUCCAUAGUGUUCCUUUUUAACCUUCCCACCACUGAGCAUGUAAUGUGCAUAGUCAAAAUCCAUCGCAGAACGAUUGGGUAUAAACCUGUCCAGAUUCUCUCGAGUUCUUUUCUUGUGAGACAUCUGAUUAACGAGAGGAGGUCGAAACUUAUUGUAUCUGCUCCCUGCAUCCAUAGAUACAGAAAAAAGAGAAUUACUCUAUCAAAUACAAAACGGCAAAAUUGCGAAACAACAGAGAUAAACCAAUGAACAGUGUUAAUAAUAGCAGCGUCGUCUUUAGCAGAUCAAUAUGAGAAUUUCUUGAUAAAGAGCGUCAAUGGCGUAUUGAAUUUCUUCAGCGUUAAUGGGGAGUUCUUU